UUACUUAAAACCCUUUUAUAUCUUCAUUUAGAUUACACCUCAGCCUGCUGGAAAACAUUGAGACAGAAUUGUUUUGAUCAAAAUAUCAAAUGAAAUCCCAUGAGCCUCUGCUAAAUCCAAGGGCUCCCUCAUGACCAGAGUUGUGUGGCAUUAGCAGAUGCUGCAUGAUUGUGGACAUACACAAACUGGUACGUUCAUGCAAACAGUAAGCUUCCUGCUCCAGACCUGGCUUUGCUGGCUUUGUUCCUGUACCCAGAUGCAUUGGGAUGUGCUUCAUCAUACACUGCAUGAAAUUAAAGCUGUCUCAAAUCACACUAUAAUGUCCUUUUCCAUUCGACUGUUGUUUUUCAGUACUUUCGGGAGUUCCUUGAAUACUUUGGGAUAAUCCUGUUUUCACAGACUCUCUCCCCACUGGAGUAAUUCUGAAAUAUUUCACUUACAUGCUAAGGAAAUAAAGAUCUGUGAAAGAAAUAAAAAUAAUGUAAG
This 486-nucleotide long non-coding RNA is filed under the name Anser brachyrhynchus (Pink-footed goose). Its description in RNAcentral is "lncRNA (ENSABRG00000014302.1)". Lineage: Eukaryota; Metazoa; Chordata; Aves; Anseriformes; Anatidae. The record is from RNAcentral.